This is a long non-coding RNA of Octopus sinensis (East Asian common octopus), 94 nucleotides long. RefSeq lists it as uncharacterized. The transcript is spliced from 3 exons. Lineage: Eukaryota; Metazoa; Mollusca; Cephalopoda; Octopoda; Octopodidae. The record is from RefSeq and is a predicted model, not a curated record.
UCUCUAAAAAUGCUUAUACUAAUAAACUUACUAUUCUUAAAUCUCACAACAUCAGAUAUUCAGCCACUGUACUUUGUAGUAAAGGUUGUUUGCC